Molecule: ribosomal RNA, 329 nt
Filed under: uncultured Ruminococcus sp.
Lineage: Bacteria; Bacillati; Bacillota; Clostridia; Eubacteriales; Oscillospiraceae
Description: bacterial SSU rRNA
Rfam family: Bacterial small subunit ribosomal RNA
Source: RNAcentral
GAUGAACGCUGGCGGCGUGCUUAACACAUGCAAGUCGAACGAAGCACUUAAGAUGAUUUCUUCGGAUUGAAUUUUUUGUGACUUAGUGGCGGACGGGUGAGUAACGCGUGGGCAACCUGCCUCUGUCUGGGGGAUAACAGUUAGAAAUGACUGCUAAUACCGCAUAAGCGCACACUUCCGCAUGGAAGAGUGUGAAAAACGUUAGUGGACAGAGAUGGACCCGCGUUAGAUUAGCCAGUUGGUGGGGUAACGGCCUACCAAAGCAACGAUCUAUAGCCGGCCUGAGAGGGCGACCGGCCACAUUGGGACUGAGACACGGCCCAAACUCC